GCUGGCCCUCCGGCGUCGCUCCCUUGUGCCUGGCUUCGGCUCUUGAGCGAGCACGUGUGCAGCUCCGGGGGAGCCCCGAGCCCCUGGCAGGCCUGUGCCACAUGCCCCCGGGAUGGGGGCCGGGGUUCAGGGCACCGUGACAACCGCGCUCUCUGUCUCUCAGCUCCAGAGACGCAAGAUCAAGUGCCGCGUCCUGUCGGCUGGAGUGACCGUCCUGCUGGUCAUCAUCCUCACCACUGCCACCUCCAUCCGAGAGUAAUGCCCCCGACGGUUGAUGCUGGGACCCAGGAGAGUGUCCCACCCACUGCCUCCCACCAGUGCGCUGGCCUCGCCACCACGACAUCCGCGUCCUGUCCCAAUGAACUGCCCCCCUCAGUUCGCCACGGCGCCGGUCUCCAUCCAUCGGAGUGAAGCCGACGUGUCCUUCAAAGCUCCAGCACGUCUCCAGGUG
Molecule: long non-coding RNA, 451 nt
Filed under: Vulpes vulpes (red fox)
Lineage: Eukaryota; Metazoa; Chordata; Mammalia; Carnivora; Canidae
Description: lncRNA (ENSVVUG00000014271.1)
Source: RNAcentral